CAACGUGGGUAACCUGCCUCAAAGAGGGGAAUAGCCUCCCGAAAGGGAGAUUAAUACCGCAUAAUAUGUUUUGAUCGCAUGAUCUUAACAUCAAAGGAAUUUUUCGAAAUUCCACUUUGAGAUGGACCCGCGGCGCAUUAGCUAGUUGGUGAGGUAAAGGCCCACCAAGGCAACGAUGCGUAGCCGACCUGAGAGGGUGAUCGGCCACAUUGGAACUGAGACACGGUCCAG
This 231-nucleotide ribosomal RNA is filed under the name uncultured bacterium. RNAcentral describes it as "partial 16S ribosomal RNA". It matches the Rfam family "Bacterial small subunit ribosomal RNA", at positions 113 to 334 of the family's 1533-position model. The record is from RNAcentral.